Molecule: regulatory RNA element, 103 nt
Organism: Dialister invisus CAG:218
Lineage: Bacteria; Bacillati; Bacillota; Negativicutes; Veillonellales; Veillonellaceae
Rfam family: folP RNA
Source: Rfam
UACAUGGAGGAAAUGCCAUGGCGGUGGAUGUACGUCCAUCGAGCCGGUUUGAUGAUUAUUUCCCUGAUUAUCAAUUCGGCUGCGGAUGAUCAUACUCCUCAAU